Molecule: ribosomal RNA, 294 nt
Filed under: Neuropogon antarcticus
Lineage: Eukaryota; Fungi; Ascomycota; Lecanoromycetes; Lecanorales; Parmeliaceae
Description: partial 18S ribosomal RNA
Rfam family: Group I catalytic intron (bases 22-204)
About the family: Group I catalytic introns are large self-splicing ribozymes. They catalyse their own excision from mRNA, tRNA and rRNA precursors in a wide range of organisms.
Source: RNAcentral
GCGACUCUAAACAAGUAUAAUCCUCGGGGCUUGCCCUUGAGCACUAGCCAUUUCUUUUAGAUGGCAACAUUACCAGUAUGCGGGAACAUUCAACUAAGUUGGAUAACCCGCAGUCACAUUUGUGGCCCACAGGCUAAAUGGUAAUGGGCAUAGAUGCAAGGCAGCUAUGCUUCAGAUAUAGUCGGUCCCCAGAUACCUCUGGGAAACUUGUGGACUUGGUGGCGGAGCUCCUUCGAAAUCAAUUUCCACGAGCGAGUAAACGUUCCGUAGGUGAACCUGCGGAAGGAUCAUUAC